UCCGGCGGUGAAGGAUGAGCCCGCGGCCUAUCAGCUUGUUGGUGAGGUAAUGGCUCACCAAGGCGACGACGGGUAGCCGGCCUGAGAGGGCGACCGGCCACACUGGGACUGAGACACGGCCCAGACUCCUACGGGAGGCAGCAGUGGGGAAUAUUGCACAAUGGGCGAAAGCCUGAUGCAGCGACGCCGCGUGAGGGAUGACGGCCUUCGGGUUGUAAACCUCUUUCAGCAGGGAAGAAGCGAAAGUGACGGUACCUGCAGAAGAAGCGCCGGCUAACUACGUGCCAGCAGCCGCGGUAAUACGUAGGGCGCAAGCGUUGUCCGGAAUUAUUGGGCGUAAAGAGCUCGUAGGCGGCUUGUCACGUCGGUUGUGAAAGCCCGGGGCUUAACCCCGGGUCUGCAGUCGAUACGGGCAGGCUAGAGUUCGGUAGGGGAGAUCGGAAUUCCUGGUGUAGCGGUGAAAUGCGCAGAUAUCAGGAGGAACACCGGUGGCGAAGGCGGAUCUCUGGGCCGAUACUGACGCUGAGGAGCGAAAGCGUGGGGAGCGAACAGGAUUAGAUACCCUGGUAGUCCACGCCG
RNAcentral lists this ribosomal RNA (579 nucleotides) under Streptomyces sp. Its description in RNAcentral is "bacterial SSU rRNA". It matches the Rfam family "Bacterial small subunit ribosomal RNA", at positions 211 to 802 of the family's 1533-position model. Lineage: Bacteria; Bacillati; Actinomycetota; Actinomycetes; Kitasatosporales; Streptomycetaceae. The record is from RNAcentral.